RNAcentral lists this microRNA precursor (183 nucleotides) under Oryza glumipatula. RNAcentral's name for it is "MIR812 microRNA precursor family". It matches the Rfam family "MIR812 microRNA precursor family". Lineage: Eukaryota; Viridiplantae; Streptophyta; Magnoliopsida; Poales; Poaceae. The record is from Rfam by way of RNAcentral.
AGUGAGUACAUCCAUUAAUACUACUCUAUCCGUCUCGUUUUAAAAAAUUUUUAUAAUUAGUAUUUUUAUUGUUAUAAGAUGAUAAAACAUAAUAAAUACCUUAUGUGUGACUUAUGUUUUUAAUUUUUUUCUAAAUAAGACGACAAUCAAAAUUAGGCACGAAAAAUCAUAGAUACACUUAAA